CCUACGGGAGGCAGCAGUGGGGAAUAUUGGACAAUGGGCGAAAGCCUGAUCCAGCCAUGCCGCGUGUGUGAAGAAGGCCUUCGGGUUGUAAAGCACUUUCAGUGGGGAAGAAAGCCUUGGGGCUAAUACCCUCGAGGAAGGACAUCACCCACAGAAGAAGCACCGGCUGAACUCCGUGCCAGCAGCCGCGGUAAUACGGAGGGUGCGAGCGUUAAUCGGAAUUACUGGGCGUAAAGCGCGCGUAGGCGGUCUGAUAAGCCGGUUGUGAAAGCCCCGGGCUCAACCUGGGAACGGCAUCCGGAACUGUCAGGCUAGAGUGCAGGAGAGGAAGGUAGAAUUCCCGGUGUAGCGGUGAAAUGCGUAGAGAUCGGGAGGAAUACCAGUGGCGAAGGCGGCCUUCUGGACUGACACUGACGCUGAGGUGCGAAAGCGUGGGUAGCAAACAGGAUUAGAUACCCCUGUAGUC
Molecule: ribosomal RNA, 466 nt
Filed under: Vreelandella stevensii
Lineage: Bacteria; Pseudomonadati; Pseudomonadota; Gammaproteobacteria; Oceanospirillales; Halomonadaceae
Description: partial 16S ribosomal RNA
Rfam family: Bacterial small subunit ribosomal RNA
Source: RNAcentral